RNAcentral lists this ribosomal RNA (301 nucleotides) under uncultured bacterium. RNAcentral's name for it is "partial 16S ribosomal RNA". It matches the Rfam family "Bacterial small subunit ribosomal RNA", at positions 509 to 807 of the family's 1533-position model. The record is from RNAcentral.
CAGCAGCCGCGGGAACACGAAGGGUGCAAGCGUUACUCGGAAUUACUGGGCGUAAAGCGUGCGUAGGUGGUGGUUUAAGUCCGUUGUGAAAGCCCUGGGCUCAACCUGGGAAUUGCAGUGGAUACUGGGUCACUAGAGUGUGGUAGAGGAUAGUGGAAUUUCCGGUGUAGCAGUGAAAUGCGUAGAGAUCGGAAGGAACAUCUGUGGCGAAGGCGACUAUCUGGGCCAACACUGACACUGAGGCACGAAAGCGUGGGGAGCAAACAGGAUUAGAUACCCCUGUAGUCCCUGUCUCUUAUAC